AUUUAAGGUUUAAUCUGCUCAAUGAUUAUUUAAAUUGCCGCAGUAUUUUGACUGUGCAAAGGUAGCAUAAUAAUUAGUUUCUUUAUUGGGAACUGGAAUGAAUGAUUGGACGAGAAAAUUUCUGUCUCUUUAUUAUUUUAAUUGAAUUUUACUUUUAAGUUAAAAGGCUUAAAUUUUAUUAGAGGACGAGAAGACCCUAUAGAGUUUAAUUUUUAUUUAAAUAAUUAUUUUUAGUAUUUAUAUAUAUAUUAUUUAAAUAAAAAUUUAGUUGGGGUGACUAAAAGAUAAGAAUAACUCUUUUAAUUUUUAUCAAUUAUUUUUGAUUAUAAAAUCUUUAUUUUUAAUUUUAAAAUAAAUUACCUUAGGGAUAACAGCGUAAUUCUUUUUUAAAGUUCUUAUUAAAAGAAGAGUUUGCGACCUCGAUGUUGGAUUAAAAUUAAUUUUAGGUGUAGAAGCUUGAAAAUUAAGUCUGUUCGACUUUUAAAAUUUUACAUGAUCUGAGUUUAAACCGGUGUGAGCCAGGUUGGUUUCUAU
Molecule: ribosomal RNA, 534 nt
Filed under: Pteroptyx tener
Lineage: Eukaryota; Metazoa; Arthropoda; Insecta; Coleoptera; Lampyridae
Description: partial large subunit ribosomal RNA
Rfam family: Bacterial large subunit ribosomal RNA
Source: RNAcentral